CUUGGUAAGAAUAGCUGCGGGGGUACACCUGGUCCCAUUCCGAACCCAGAAGUUAAGCCCGUAAACGCUGAAAGUACUUGGAGGGAAGCCUCCUGGGAGGAUAGGAACUUGCCAAGC
RNAcentral lists this ribosomal RNA (117 nucleotides) under Fusobacterium varium. The record is from RNAcentral. Lineage: Bacteria; Fusobacteriati; Fusobacteriota; Fusobacteriia; Fusobacteriales; Fusobacteriaceae. RNAcentral also lists the same sequence under 6 other names.